UCAAUGUGGAGGCUAUAUACAGGGUGUUACGGUACAGAGUCAAUGUGGAGGCUAUAUACAGGGUAUUACGGUACAGAGUCAAUGUGGAGGCUAUAUACAGGGGGUACCGGUACAGAGUCAAUGUGGAGGCUAUAUACAGGGGGGUACCGGUACAGAGUCAAUGUGGAGGCUAUAUACAGGGGUACCGGUACAGAGUCAAUGUGGAGGCUAUAUACAGGGGGUACCGGUACAGAGUCCAUGUGGAGGCUAUAUACAGGGUAUUACGGAACAGAGUCAAUGUGGAGGCUAUAUACAGGGUGUUACGGUACAGAGUCAAUGUGGGGCUAUAUACAGG
This is a long non-coding RNA of Oncorhynchus tshawytscha (Chinook salmon), 334 nucleotides long. Lineage: Eukaryota; Metazoa; Chordata; Actinopteri; Salmoniformes; Salmonidae. The record is from Ensembl.